UUACACAGUACUUAAAAAUAAAAACAGUAUUGCAGCUUUAGCUAGGGUUUAGAAAUCCCCAAAUCGCUAUAUACGAACUUCAGAUUUGACUCAUCUUCAUCUUCAUCUUCAUCAUUUCUUCAACAUCCGACUUCCAUAGCUGGAUUUAUCCUUCUCUUCGUGAGUUCUUCAGUAUCAAGAUAGUUGGAUACAUCUUCUUUUCGUUGUAUAAAUCUUUAAUUGGUUGUUGGAUACAUCUUCAUUCGGUUGAAUCAGUUGAAAAUAGUUUGAUACAUCUUCAAUCGGGGUUCAAGUGAAAGACACUUCAGUUUGGUUUGUAUCAAUUCAACCGCUCUUGUUCUACUCAUCUUCUUCUCCAUUCAAUUCGGUUUGAAUCGUUCCCUACAACAGUCUCUUUGUCAAGGAGUGAAACUGAAAGAGUAGAGAACCAGAAAAGAGGAGAUUGGAUCUCUUUGUCUUAAACCUCUCUCCGCAUCAAAAGAUUUAGAAUUUGAGGAAAGUGGCAUUAAUAGAAGACAUUUGUCUUGUGGGGAAAAUACUGAAGGAGGCAAAGAUCAAAGAUACAGGUAUGCUUUAAGUGUCUUGUAUUCUUAUUUAUGCGCAGUUUAAAAAAAUGGAGGUCACUUGAUGAUUCAAUGCAAAUAGUCAUUAAUAAGUAAGAAAAUUAUCUAUCUAAUCAACAUCCUUCCAAUAAAUAAGCUUUUUGUUUGGUCCACAACCU
This is a long non-coding RNA of Capsicum annuum, 721 nucleotides long. RefSeq lists it as uncharacterized. The record is from RefSeq and is a predicted model, not a curated record. The transcript has 3 exons. Lineage: Eukaryota; Viridiplantae; Streptophyta; Magnoliopsida; Solanales; Solanaceae.